AAAGGUAAGCUACUAAGAGCGAAUGGUGGAUGCCUUGACUGGUAAAGGCGAUGAAGGACGUACUAGACUGCGAUAAGCUACGGGGAGCUGUCAAGAAGCUUUGAUCCGUAGAUUUCCGAAUGGGGCAACCCAAUGUAUAGAGAUAUACAUUACCUAUAUAGGAGCGAACGAGGGGAAUUGAAACAUCUUAGUACCCUCAGGAAAAGAAAUCAAUAGAGAUUGCGUCAGUAGCGGCGAGCGAAAGCGCAAGAGGGCAAACCCAGUGCUUGCACUGGGGGUUGUAGGACUGCAAUGUGCAAGAGGUAAGUUUAGCAGAACAUUCUGGAAAGUAUAACCAUAGAGGGUGAUAGUCCCGUAUGCGAAAAACAAACCUUAGCUAGCAGUAUCCUGAGUAGGGCGGGACACGAGGAAUCCUGUCUGAAUCCGGGUCGACCACGAUCCAACCCUAAAUACUAAUACCAGAUCGAUAGUGCACAAGUACCGUGAGGGAAAGGUGAAAAGAACUGAGGUGAUCAGAGUGAAAUAGAACCUGAAACCAUUUGCUUACAAUCAUUCAGAGCCCUAUGUAGCAAUACAGGGUGAUGGACUGCCUUUUGCAUAAUGAGCCUGCGAGUUGUGGUGUCUGGCAAGGUUAAGCAAACGCGAAGCCGUAGCGAAAGCGAGUCUGAAUAGGGCGCUUAGUCAGAUGCUGCAGACCCGAAACGAAGUGAUCUAUCCAUGAGCAAGUUGAAGCUAGUGUAAGAACUAGUGGAGGACUGAACCCAUAGGCGUUGAAAAGCCCCGGGAUGACUUGUGGAUAGGGGUGAAAGGCCAAUCAAACUUCGUGAUAGCUGGUUCUCUCCGAAAUAUAUUUAGGUAUAGCGUUGUGUCGUAAUAUAAGGGGGUAGAGCACUGAAUGGGCUAGGGCAUACACCAAUGUACCAAACCCUAU
This 931-nucleotide ribosomal RNA is filed under the name Campylobacter jejuni. Its description in RNAcentral is "bacterial LSU rRNA". It matches the Rfam family "Bacterial large subunit ribosomal RNA", at positions 1 to 949 of the family's 2925-position model. Lineage: Bacteria; Pseudomonadati; Campylobacterota; Epsilonproteobacteria; Campylobacterales; Campylobacteraceae. The record is from RNAcentral.